RNAcentral lists this ribosomal RNA (492 nucleotides) under uncultured bacterium. RNAcentral's name for it is "partial 16S ribosomal RNA". It matches the Rfam family "Bacterial small subunit ribosomal RNA", at positions 29 to 507 of the family's 1533-position model. The record is from RNAcentral.
AGUGAACGCUGGCGGUAGGCCUAACACAUGCAAGUCGAACGGCAGCACAGUAAGAGCUUGCUCUUACGGGUUGCGAGUGGCGGACGGGUGAGGAAUACAUCGGAAUCUACUUUUUCGUGGGGGAUAACGUAGGGAAACUUACGCUAAUACCGCAUACGACCUACGGGUGAAAGCAGGGGAUCUUCGGACCUUGCGCGAUUGAAUGAGCCGAUUUCGGAUUAGCUAGUUGGCGGGGUAAAGGCCCACCAAGGCGACGAUCCGUAGCUGGUCUGAGAGGAUGAGCAGCCACACUGGAACGGAGACACGGUCCAGACGACUACGGGAGGCAGCAGUGGGGAAUAUUGGACAAUGGGCGCAAGCCUGAUCCAGCAAUACCGCGUGGGUGAAGAAGGCCUUCGGGUUGUAAAGCCCUUUUGUUGGGAAAGAAAAGCAGCAGGUUAAUACCCCGCUGUUCUGACGGUACCCAAAGAAUAAGCACCGGCUAACUUCGUG